Molecule: unclassified non-coding RNA, 357 nt
Filed under: soil metagenome
Description: partial contains 5.8S ribosomal RNA, internal transcribed spacer 2, and large subunit ribosomal RNA
Rfam family: 5.8S ribosomal RNA (bases 1-120)
Source: RNAcentral
GAUGAAGAACGUAGCGAAAUGCGAUAAGUAAUGUGAAUUGCAGAAUUCAGUGAAUCAUCGAAUCUUUGAACGCACAUUGCGCCCGUCAGUAUUCUGGCGGGCAUGCCUGUUCGAGCGUCAUUACGCCCCUCAAGUCCCCUGUGGACUUGGUGUUGGGGAUCGGCGAGGCUGGUUUUCCAGCACAGCCGUCCCUUAAAUUAAUUGGCGGUCUCGCCGUGGCCCUCCUCUGCGCAGUAGUAAAACACUCGCAACAGGAGCCCGGCGCGGUCCACUGCCGUAAAACCCCCCAACUUUUUAUAGUUGACCUCGAAUCAGGUAGGACUACCCGCUGAACUUAAGCAUAUCAUAAGCGGAGAA